AACUUGAGAGUUUGAUCCUGGCUCAGAACGAACGCUGGCGGCAGGCUUAACACAUGCAAGUCGAACGCACCGCAAGGUGAGUGGCAGACGGGUGAGUAACACGUGGGAAUCUACCCAGCUCUACGGAAUAACCCAGGGAAACUUGGGCUAAUACCGUAUACGUCCGAUAGGAGAAAGAUUUAUCGGAGUUGGAUGAGCCCGCGUCCGAUUAGCUAGUUGGUGGGGUAAUGGCCUACCAAGGCAACGAUCAGUAGCCGACCUUAGAGGGUGAUCGGCCACACUGGGACUGAGAACGGCCCAGACUCCUACGGGAGGCAGCAGUGGGGAAUAUUGGACAAUGGGCGCAAGCC
This 350-nucleotide ribosomal RNA is filed under the name Alphaproteobacteria bacterium. RNAcentral's name for it is "bacterial SSU rRNA". It matches the Rfam family "Bacterial small subunit ribosomal RNA", at positions 1 to 383 of the family's 1533-position model. Lineage: Bacteria; Pseudomonadati; Pseudomonadota; Alphaproteobacteria. The record is from RNAcentral.